UGGGUUUGACAUAUAGGGAAAUCCUCCAGAGAUGGGGGGUCCGUAAGGGUCCUAUACAGGUGGUGCAUGGCUGUCGUCAGCUCGUGUCGUGAGAUGUUGGGUUAAGUCCCGCAACGAGCGCAACCCUCGUCCUAUGUUGCCAGCACGUUAUGGUGGGGACUCAUAGGAGACUGCCGGGGUCAACUCGGAGGAAGGUGGGGAUGACGUUGAACGGUUGGUU
Molecule: unclassified non-coding RNA, 220 nt
Filed under: uncultured Nocardioidaceae bacterium
Lineage: Bacteria; Bacillati; Actinomycetota; Actinomycetes; Propionibacteriales; Nocardioidaceae
Description: contains 16S-23S intergenic spacer region
Rfam family: Bacterial small subunit ribosomal RNA
Source: RNAcentral